Chiloscyllium plagiosum (whitespotted bambooshark) is the source of this 458-nucleotide non-coding RNA. The record is from RefSeq and is a predicted model, not a curated record. Lineage: Eukaryota; Metazoa; Chordata; Chondrichthyes; Orectolobiformes; Hemiscylliidae.
GGGAAGAGAAAAGAAAAUGAAACCAUCUGAAUUAUGAUUAAAAGCAGAGGAAAAAGAAAAAGAAUGGAAGACCUGAGCAGAGGAGAAUUACAAGGGACAUGGGAUUUUGUUGUCAGAACUUUUCAUCUCUCUAGUUGUUUUGAGAUACAACCUUCUGAACCUUCUUACUGCCUGUUGUCUUUACAUUCAGAACUUCUGAGAGUCAGCUAAAAGUAAUCUUCAAAAGGUUGGUCAGGCAGCAAGGAGAUAAUGAAGGAUGCUGAAGAGCCGGGAGUGAGGCAGCAGCUGGUUGAGAAGGAUGAUGAGGAGACUGAGCAGGAAGAACACCACCUGAUAGAGUGGUGCAGCCUAAGGUACAAUGCACCAGACAAGAUUUAAAUCAAACCCACUUCCAACGGAUGUGAGUUGAGUUAAGAGAUCAUUGACUGAAAUUUGUUGCUGCUCCAGCCCCAGUUUAG